CUCCUACGGGAGGCAGCAGUGGGGAAUUUUGGACAAUGGGCGAAAGUCUGAUCCAGCCAUGCCGCGUGAGUGAAGAAGGCCUUCGGGUUGUAAAGCUCUUUUAGUCGGAAAGAAAGAGUUGCAAUGAAUAAUUGUGAUUUAUGACGGUACCAACAGAAAAAGCACCGGCUAACUACGUGCCAGCGCCGCGGUAA
RNAcentral lists this ribosomal RNA (194 nucleotides) under uncultured bacterium. Its description in RNAcentral is "partial 16S ribosomal RNA". It matches the Rfam family "Bacterial small subunit ribosomal RNA", at positions 336 to 523 of the family's 1533-position model. The record is from RNAcentral.